CUACGGGCGGCACCAGUGGGGAAUCUUAGACAAUGGGCGCAAGCCUGAUCUAGCCAUGCCGCGUGAGUGAUGAAGGCCUUAGGGUCGUAAAGCUCUUUCGCCUGUGAUGAUAAUGACAGUAGCAGGUAAAGAAACCCCGGCUAACUCCGUGCCAGCAGCCGCGGUAAUACGGAGGGGGUUAGCGUUGUUCGGAAUUACUGGGCGUAAAGCGCACGUAGGCGGAUCAGAAAGUUAGGGGUGAAAUCCCGGGGCUCAACCUCGGAACUGCCUCUAAAACUCCUGGUCUAGAGUUCGAGAGAGGUGAGGGGAAUUCCAAGUGUAGAGGUGAAAUUCGUAGAUAUUUGGAGGAACACCAGUGGCGAAGGCGGCUCACUGGCUCGAUACUGGCGCUGAGGUGCGAAAGUGUGGGGAGCAAACAGGAUUAGAUACCCGGGUAGUC
Molecule: ribosomal RNA, 439 nt
Filed under: uncultured bacterium
Lineage: Bacteria
Description: partial 16S ribosomal RNA
Rfam family: Bacterial small subunit ribosomal RNA
Source: RNAcentral